This 566-nucleotide ribosomal RNA is filed under the name uncultured Glomus. RNAcentral describes it as "SSU rRNA". It matches the Rfam family "Eukaryotic small subunit ribosomal RNA", at positions 546 to 1106 of the family's 1831-position model. Lineage: Eukaryota; Fungi; Glomeromycota; Glomeromycetes; Glomerales; Glomeraceae. The record is from RNAcentral.
AAUUGGAGGGCAAGUCUGGUGCCAGCAGCCGCGGUAAUUCCAGCUCCAAUAGCGUAUAUUAAAGUUGUUGCAGUUAAAAAGCUCGUAGUUGAAUUUCGGGAUUGACGUGAUGGUCAUGCCUUAAGGGGUAUGAACUGUUGCAGUUGAUUUCUCACCUUCUGGAAAAACUUGAUGUCCUUUAUUGGGUGUCUUGCGGAACCAGGACCUUUACCUUGAAAAAAUUAGAGUGUUUAAAGCAGGCAUUUUUGCUCGAAUACAUUAGCAUGGAAUAAUAGAAUAGGACGGCAUGGUUCUAUUUUGUUGGUUUCUAGGAUCACCGUAAUGAUUAAUAGGGAUAGUUGGGGGCAUUAGUAUUCAAUUGUCAGAGGUGAAAUUCUUGGAUUUAUUGAAGACUAACUACUGCGAAAGCAUUUGCCAAGGAUGUUUUCAUUAAUCAAGAACGAAAGUUAGGGGAUCGAAGACGAUCAGAUACCGUCGUAGUCUUAACCAUAAACUAUGCCGACUAGGAAUCAGACGAUGUUAAUUUUUUAAUGACUCGUUUGGCACCUUACGGGAAACCAAAGUGU